GCCAAUGUGGUGUAGUGGUUUGAGCAUGGGACUGUGACUCUGUGGACCAGGGUUCGAAUCCUGGCUCAGCCA
Non-coding RNA from Phrynosoma platyrhinos (Desert horned lizard), 72 nucleotides. The record is from the annotation of a GenBank genome assembly. Lineage: Eukaryota; Metazoa; Chordata; Lepidosauria; Squamata; Phrynosomatidae.